UGCUCUCUAAGUCAAUUUAAUUCUUUAUAAAAACAAUAUGAGGUGAGUCUUACUAUUCAUCACUUACAUAUGCAGAAACUGAGGGUCAGGGAGGUGAAAUGACCUGUCCGAAAGUCACUUAACUAGCAAAUGAUGGCUUUGUUUCAACUCCAUCAUCUGAUCAGGCAGAGGUGAAAGAGAACAAUGCAAUGUGUGCUUUUGGGUAGUGGGUACUGUUCGGUUUGGCAGGACUGUGGGAUACAUGCAAGGCGGAGGGGCCCUUGAGUGCUAAGGCAGAGAGUUGGAGUCUAUCAGGUAGGCAGUGAGAGGAAGGUUUCUGCAUCAUAGAGGGCACUGGUGGAGCCAUGCCUCAGAAACAUUGAUCCGCUAUUGUCCUCUACGAUGAAGAGAAAUGAGGCACGCUGGAGGCCUGGAGACCAGUUGGAGGAGCAUUGUAUAAACUCUCAUAGGCCUGAAUGGGCAUGGGUGUUGGCAAUGGAAAAAGAAAAAAGUAUUCUAUCGAGUCUCCAGACGCCCAGGGAAUUGCUGAACGAAGUCUGAGUUCUCCCUAUGUAGAUAGCUCGUACUUUUCAUUAUAGGUUUCUCAAGAACUGGCUCCCAGAAAAAACCUGGAUGGAGAACAAAACAGUAGGACUAUCUGUGGACAAGAGGGAGAAGUGACACUGGGAAGUGUCCUCAUUAGCAGCAUCCAGGCAAGUAACAUAAAUGUAUGAGGGCACUCUGGGGGGGCACCAUGAAGAACAGGGCACAUGCUCCAUGUCAGGGGGGCCUCUCGGUUCUGGCUGAGGGGCCCAAAGUUGCAGGAUCUACUAUUUCAGCAGAAACCUCAUAGCCAAAUUUUUUGGGAAAGUCCUCAAUUUUACAACAUUGCAACCAGUUUCAACUUCUUAAUAUCACUGCGCUGGCCACAUUCAGCUCUUAAUUUGUUACCAGUUUGCCACCUCUAGGUUAAAUGUUAGUACCAUUUUAUCAAAACCUUUCCAAAUUUGAAAGCACAUCUUUAGUAAAACUAGCUACAGAGCAAGUUCAUUUGGAUUGCCGAGAGCUGGGAUAGAGAAGUCUGGGAGCCGGGCAGGGACUGUAGGGAGGCCCCUGGACCACGUGCUGGGCAUCCUGGUGCCUUAGCUUUGAAAGGGAGAUGGACGACAGCAGUGACAAUAUUUGCUGCAACCAGGCCCUCCUGGGCGACCACCCAGAGCUGGGCUUGGAGCCGAAGGAGGGAUGGGCAAGCUGUGCUGCUCCCAGCUCCAGUUGGCCCCUUCCCAUUAACAUUACAGGAGUGCAGUCGCGUGGUGUUUGAAAAAGCAUCCCUAGUUCCACGAAAUGAUUUACAGGACACCAGACUCUGCAUUUCAGAGGUCUCCGGUGUACCAUAAAAAAUAUAUUCUAAAGGAAUAAUCUUUAUCUGAGCUGAAGCUGCAGUGAAGGAAGCUCACAUCCAGCUGAGAGCAGCCGUGAGCUUCUGUUCACUCAGGGAAAAGUCUGUGUUCAUGUUAUUGGAGCAACAUUUUUUUCUCUCUUUGGCACUAGGUAUCUAGUUAAUAUUUAGACACUAUAUACAUUUUCUUUCAACUGUUGUCCCUGUUAUGUGAUCAAACAAAACCGGAGAUGCCAAGCACAUCAGCCCUGUAGGUGAAAGCAGACCCUCCAGGCACCCCGCUGUGGCUAGCAGGGUAAA
Molecule: non-coding RNA, 1678 nt
Organism: Equus caballus (horse)
Lineage: Eukaryota; Metazoa; Chordata; Mammalia; Perissodactyla; Equidae
Source: RefSeq, a predicted model, not a curated record